Molecule: transfer RNA, 73 nt
Organism: Ovis aries (sheep)
Lineage: Eukaryota; Metazoa; Chordata; Mammalia; Artiodactyla; Bovidae
Rfam family: tRNA
About the family: Transfer RNA (tRNA) molecules are approximately 80 nucleotides in length.
Source: Rfam
UCCGUGGUGGCCCAGUGGUUAGAACUCUGCACUUCCACUGCAGGGGGCGUAGGUUCCAUCCCUGCUCAGGGAA